AGAAGCUUAGGUUACACAUAAACCAAGGGCCUUCAAAGCCCUAAACAGAGACACCACCCCCUCUAGCUUCUG
This 72-nucleotide transfer RNA is filed under the name Pseudogekko smaragdinus. RNAcentral describes it as "tRNA-Trp". The record is from RNAcentral. Lineage: Eukaryota; Metazoa; Chordata; Lepidosauria; Squamata; Gekkonidae.